CUGGAUCCUGUAUAUUGCCACUCCAAUUUGAGGUCUAACAAUUUACUCUUAUUAUAAAUAAUGCUUGGUACACAUUAUUAUUGGCAGCAAAAGUCAAUAAAAAGAUAUAACUUCUGGUUAAAACUGUUGGUGUGAAAGUACAUUUAGCCACAAUAAAAAUAAAAGGUUCUUUUUCAGUGGCAUAAGGCAACCGGAGAAAAGGAGAGGAGGAAAGAGCAGCAUAGUUUUGGGAUGCUGGUGAGCAGAAGGUGAAUGAUGAUUAGGCUAAUAGACCUGAGAAAUCUGAAACCCAAACAAGAAGGGGGAAAAGGUAAGAAGCAACAAGAUUUGUACCAUGGAAUCUGCAAAAGGCCCAGCUCAGGAAUCAGCAGCAACAGUAACCUAUGGAAAUGAGGCUAGUGAUAUAGUUAAAAGGGUGGAUGGAGAACUUGUUUAGGAAUUGCCUCUCAGUUCUUUGUUCCCAUUCAACUCAGGUGAGAACUGCACCUCCACACCCUAGCACAAGAUGGGAAUUUUAAUCUCUAGAUAUAAAUUUAAAAAAAAAGAUUUCUAAAUGAAGGGCCCUACAUUAAAAAAAAUGGAAGCUAAGUUAAAAACAUAUACUGAAUUUUUACCUCCUAGCCUUCUUCCCGAAUCUGGCUUCUAGAACGCUCGCCUUGGUCCUCUGUUCUCCAGGAAGUAGUCCAGAGAGCCAUUUCUAGUAAAUAUGACUGCCCAGAAGAGACUUCAAUAAACUGGCACAAUUUGAGAUUCACACUUAACAUUCUCCAACUUUUCCUUAAUCUAUAAACCAAAAUUCAUAUUUUAUUCAGUGUAAGUGGAUAGCCCAGGAGCUACAGAAGUUUGAGAAAAAUAUGAAAGACAGAGGCCAAAGAAAAUAGAAAAAAAAAAAGAGUUACGGGAAACAGAAGCGCU
This 915-nucleotide long non-coding RNA is filed under the name Marmota monax (woodchuck). The record is from RNAcentral. Lineage: Eukaryota; Metazoa; Chordata; Mammalia; Rodentia; Sciuridae.